RNAcentral lists this ribosomal RNA (111 nucleotides) under uncultured Angelakisella sp. The record is from RNAcentral. Lineage: Bacteria; Bacillati; Bacillota; Clostridia; Eubacteriales; Oscillospiraceae.
GGUGUUGAUUGCGAUGAGGUUCCACCUGUUCCCAUCCCGAACACAGAAGUUAAGCUCAUUAGCGCCGAAGAUACUUGGCUGGAAGCGGCCUGGGAAAAUAGGUUGAUGCCG